This 253-nucleotide ribosomal RNA is filed under the name uncultured bacterium. RNAcentral describes it as "partial 16S ribosomal RNA". It matches the Rfam family "Bacterial small subunit ribosomal RNA", at positions 524 to 776 of the family's 1533-position model. The record is from RNAcentral.
UACAGAGGGUGCGAGCGUUGUCCGGAAUUACUGGGCGUAAAGGGCGCGUAGGCGGCUUGGUAAGUCGGGGGUGAAAGUCAGCGGCUCAACCGCUGGACUGCCUUCGAGACUGCCUGGCUUGAGCAUGGUAGAGGCUGGCGGAAUUCCCGGUGUAGCGGUGGAAUGCGUAGAGAUCGGGAAGAACAUCGGUGGCGAAGGCGGCCAGCUGAGCCAUUGCUGACGCUGAGGCGCGACAGCGUGGGGAGCAAACAGG